This 883-nucleotide ribosomal RNA is filed under the name Diaporthe foeniculina. Its description in RNAcentral is "partial large subunit ribosomal RNA". It matches the Rfam family "Eukaryotic large subunit ribosomal RNA", at positions 38 to 953 of the family's 3401-position model. The record is from RNAcentral. Lineage: Eukaryota; Fungi; Ascomycota; Sordariomycetes; Diaporthales; Diaporthaceae.
GCAUAUCAAAUAGCGGAGGAAAAGAAACCRACAGGGAUUGCCCUAGYAAMGGCGAGUGAAGCGGCAACAGCUCAAAUUUGAAAUCUGGCCUCGGCCCGAGUUGUAAUUUGCAGAGGAUGCUUCUGGCGCGGUGCCUUCCGAGUUCCCUGGAACGGGACGCCACRGAGGGUGAGAGCCCCGWAUGGUCGGACACCAAGCCUGUGUGAAGCUCCUUCGMYGAGUCGAGUAGUUUGGGAAUGCUGCUCURAAUGGGAGGUAAAUCUCUUCUMAAGCUAAAUACCGGCCAGAGACCGAUAGCGCACAAGURGAGUGAUCGAAAGAUGAAAAGCACCUUSAAAAGGGGGUUAAAUAGUACGUGAAAUUGUUGAAAGGGAAGCACUUAUGACCRGACUUGGGCCGGGCGGCUCAUCWGGGGUUCUCCCCUGUGCACUCCGCCCGGCACAGGCCAGCAUCRGUUCUCGUGGGGGGAUAAGACCGUCAGGAACRUAGCACUCUCCGGAGUGUGUUAUAGCCUGGCGGACGAUACCCCCGUGGGGACCGAGGUCCGCKCAUUGCARGGAUGCUGGCGUAAUGGUCAUCASUGMCCCGUCUUGAAACACGGACCAWGGAGUCGUCCAUUAGAGCGAGCGUUUGGGUGUAAAACCCGCACGCGUAAUGAAAGUGAACGCAGGUGAGAGCUUCGGCGCAUCAUCKACCGAUCCUGAUGUUCUCGGAAGGAUUUGAGUAAGARUUUUAACGGACGGACCCKAAAGACAGUGAACUAUGCUUGAAUAGGGUGAAGCCAGAGGAAACUCUGGUGGAGGCUCGCAGCGGUUCUGACGUGCAAAUCGAUCGUCAAAUUUGAGCAUGGGGGCGAAAGACUAAUCGAACUGUCUAGUAGCUG